RNAcentral lists this ribosomal RNA (493 nucleotides) under uncultured soil bacterium. Its description in RNAcentral is "bacterial SSU rRNA". It matches the Rfam family "Bacterial small subunit ribosomal RNA", at positions 26 to 525 of the family's 1533-position model. The record is from RNAcentral.
AGAUUGAACGCUGGCGGCAUGCCUUACACAUGCAAGUCGAACGGUAGAGUAGCAAUACUUGAGAGUGGCGAACGGGUGAGUAAUAUAUCGGAACGUGCCCAGUCGUGGGGGAUAACGUAGAGAAAUUUACGCUAAUACCGCAUACGAUCUAAGGCUGAAAGCGGGGGACUCGCAAGAGCCUCGCGCGAUUGGAGCGGCUGAUAUCAGAUUAGGUUGUUGGUGAGGUAAAAGCUCACCAAGCCGACGAUCUGUAGCUGGUUUGAGAGAACGACCAGCCACACUGGGACUGAGACACGGUCCAGACUCCUACGGGAGCAGCAGUGGGAAUAUGGACAAUGGGCGCAAGCCUGAUCCAGCCAUACCGCGUGGGUGAAGAAGGCCUUCGGUUGUAAACGCCCGUUUUUGUAGGAAAGAAAGCAGUUUACGGUAAUACCGGUGUCUGACGUACCAAGAACUAAGCACGGACUAACGUCGUGACCAGCACGCCGACGUA